Molecule: long non-coding RNA, 2176 nt
Organism: Phyllopteryx taeniolatus (common seadragon)
Lineage: Eukaryota; Metazoa; Chordata; Actinopteri; Syngnathiformes; Syngnathidae
Exons: 3
Source: RefSeq, a predicted model, not a curated record
UAGCUGUAUAGUUGUUUAGCCUUGAAGGGACGGGGCUGCAUGCGUGAUUUUUUUAUUAUUAUUUAUUUUUCUAAAAAAAAUAUUUUUUAAAUUAUAUCUUUUGGUACAUAGUGUGGGUCUGUGUGUAUAUUAAAAGCUGGCACUUUUGCAGCAUUAUAACGCCAAACCUGCAAAAGUUGGAGCAAAAAAAAAGAAAACAGCAAAUGUGAUCCAUCGCAUAUAGCUGCACACACACGCCCCUCCCCUUUCCUGCGCGCACACGCACACACACACACACACGCUGUUUGCGUCCCCAUCCACUCUCUCACACGCGUUGUCGUGCACGCGCACACUGUUGAGUCCGCCGCUUUUGCAGCGCGAGAUUUACGGCGACCUUUCUUGAACCCUCGCGAGCGACGAGCAAGCUGUUUAAGUUCUCCUCGUCUCUCCUCCAUAUUUUAUUGCCUUGUUGGCAGUGCGCGUUCACGAGGCCACGCUCCCUCGCGCCCCCCGAGCAAUUCAGAACUAUGAGGAUAAAAAUAUGACUUGGGCAGGAGUGACAAGCGUAGGCACGGGAAAGCAACUGGUGCUCAUGUAGACACGUUUCAAUUCGUUGUCAUUAUUUGCGAAAAUGAAAAUUCGAACGUGAUCACUGGAGCCUCAAGAACUUUUCCAUCACACAAAAAGCAAAGCUGGCACUCAAAAUGACGAGAAAUAUUAUUACUAUUGCGCUGUCAUAUUAAUAUAAAAUGUUUACUUAUGUGUAUAUUUGUACACUAUAGUAUUUAGCAUAAUAAAACCGAUUGUGCCACUUUACCUCCUUUUGAAUUGAUUUUCUGUCAUUUUUUUAAAAUUUCAUGUUUUCCAUAUUUUAAUUCCUCUCUAGUUCAAUCCCUAGAAUAAAAGCAAAGAUAAUUGUUUAUUUUCCCAUAAUUUCACCAUGCACCAAAUGUAACAAUUACAUGGUGUGUGUAAUAUUAUAUAACAAUCUUACCACGGGGUGUGCUGUGUGUAAUUUUAUUAUUUUGUUAUCUUGGCUCGGGAUUACCUCAUCGGGCCGUUUGUGUGGGGGGGUGCCUCAUUGCUUAUAACAUAAUCGCAUUCCAACUGAGCAUGCGCGCUAUGCUAAACUAUGACAAUAUCGCAGCGGUGCAAUAAUGUAGUGCACACCUCACGUGAGCGGGCAGGCCCACCGAUCCAUGCAUGCAUGCUGCUGGAAUUCAAUGAGACAAACAAGGACGCUUGGUUGAUCGUUUUUGGGAGGAAAAGUCAUCCAAAAAGUCCCUGGCCUUGCCGCUUCUUGGCAACACGCAUGACAAACGACGAGAACUUUCUGGUUCAUGGAGGAGGACUAACAGAACGGUGGGGCCAUUACUAUUUUGGAUUUUCUACGCCAUAUGUGGAACAGCCUACCGGAGAACCUCAGGGCAGCAGAUAAUGUUCUUGUUUUUAAAAACAACCUCAAGACCCACCUUUUUAAUUUAGCAUUUAACUAUCCAUCCAUCCAUUUUCUGAGCCGCUUAUCCCUCACAAGACGAGGUACACCCUGAAUUGGUUUCCAGCCAAUCGGAGUGCACAUAGAAACAAACAACCAUUCGCACACACAUUCACACCUACGGGCAAGUUAGAGUCUUCAGUUAACCUAGCAUGCAUGUUUUUGGGAUGUGGGAGGAAACCGGAGUGCCCGCAGAAAACCCACGCAGGCACGGGGAGAACAUGCAAACUCCACACAGGCGGGGCCGGGGAUUGAACCCCGGUCCUUAGAACUGUGAGGCAGACGCUCUAACCAGUCUUCUACCAUGAUGUCAGCAUUUAACUAGUAUUUAUUUAUUUUAUUAUCUUAGCUUUUAGUUUAUUUCCAGUCCCGCUUUAUUAUCUGUUGGAUUUUAUUCUCAUGGUGCUCUUACAUUUUGAAGUCUGUUAUUUAUUAUUUUAAAAGGAUUUUAGUCUAUAGAGUUUUAGGAGUCUGUGAUGUUAAUAACUUUACGUGCAGGAUUUUCUUGUUUUUUUGCACAGUUUACUACUCUCAGUGCUUGCUCACAGGGAGUCCUCUGUACCGGGAGCUGUGGCGGACCGUGGCCAUGGUCCUGCCUCACGGGGCUCACUGUGCGUUCAGGCAUUUUAUGUAUGAAAAGCACUGCAUAAAUACUUUUUAUUUUUCUAUUUGGAUGAUGGACUGUUUUAUUGAUGUCAUACA